Molecule: long non-coding RNA, 3125 nt
Filed under: Polistes fuscatus (common paper wasp)
Lineage: Eukaryota; Metazoa; Arthropoda; Insecta; Hymenoptera; Vespidae
Description: uncharacterized LOC122521460, transcript variant X3
Source: RNAcentral
AAAAUAUUUAACUUACAAUUAGACAGAGAUAUAUUUUGUAGAGUAUUUUUAAAAUUGUGUUGUAUGCUUUUCCACGUGAUAAGUAGCAGCGUCGAGGUGAAUUUCUUAUUCAUCACCAACGGCACUACUACUUAGUACUUGAAAAAACAAAUUCGAUAUUUUGUUCUUACGUUUCCUUAGUCGUCCUCGUCGUCCAGUUCUUCUCGACUGAUUCUAUUUCAGAAUUGGACGAAAUUAUAUACCCGGGGACUGGAUUAAAGUCCAAAAAUUUUCUAUUGUAUUUAAAUAAACGUUCCUUCGAAAAUUUUCCAAAAUCUGAUAUUUAAUUGUAAACGAAUAUCUUGGAUUCAAAGUCAAAAUAGAACAAAUAGCAUUUAUCUUUUAUGUUAGACCUUUGCGUUGGGAUAACAAGCGUAGAAAAGAUAGUUUGAUUUGUGAACGCAACAACGAGCGUUACUUCAUAUCGCCCAUCGUUACGGUCACAAAUCGAAACAUCUUUAUCGAACUUCAGGAAAUUACAUUGUUCUCCUUUGUUUUCUGAAACAACAAACGAACAAAUAAAAAAAUCAAACGAAAUGAAAAUACAUUCGGAAUAUUUCCGAUACGUUAACGCAAUCGCGUUGAAUCGUGUAAUCGAUGUUGAAUUUCAAAAAUAAACAUACACACAUAUACAAAAGAAGAUGAAGAAAUAAUUAUCAUUAACCGAUAUUUUCUACGAACUUUUAUCUUCAAUCGACAAAAGUUGUUCUCAAAAAAUGUUACAGUUAGAUUUAUUAGAAGAGUAUUCUUUCGCAGAGCAGUAAAAAAAGAAAAGAUGCGAAGAGAAAAAAGUAAGGAAGAGCAUUCAGGAGUCUCAUCAAUCGUUUGAUGGAUUCCUCUAUAAAUUGACAAACAAUAGUAAAUGGUUGGUCUGGUACUAAGCUUGACGGAAGAAGAAGAAGAAGAAGAAGAAGAAGAGAACUAGAAGAAAGAGGGACGGGUUCGCCGAUUAAACGACAAAUAAGCCAGACACGCACUGGCCCUCAUACUUCCAACACUUUAUCUAUAGAAUGUAUAUAACUACUAUUACAUGCUACUCUGUUCUUUUCUCUUUCUUUUUCUCUAACUCCCAAAUGCUUUGGUCAUUUCAUAAUAAUGGCACUUUAUAUGCGAGCAACUACCACCCUCUAUAGGUUUUCCCAUGCGGGCCCACUUUAUCCAUUUUAAAGGAACAACUAAUUUUAUUGAUAUACAAUCGUCCAUUUUUUGUCCUCCUUGCCUCUUCUAUGUUUUCUUCUUCUUUCACCGCACUGUAUGCAUUUGUAUUUGAUAUUCUUCGCUCAUCGAAACGAAUAAAUCUUUAAUCCUCUUAUUAUUCACAUAACGACUCUCAUUCUUGUACUUAUAUCAAAUUCACUUAAUGAAUCAAACCGUCGAACUUUACUACACCAGAAUAAAUCUCGAAGUGUUAAGGAAUAAAUGAAAUAGUUCGAUGAACAAAUGAAUGUCCAGCUAGUCAACGACGGUGGCAACGAUGACGACGAUGACGACGACGAUGACGACGACGACGACGAUGAUAACGAGGACGAGAUGGUGAUUGAUUAUAUUUCAUCCUUCGUACACUUGUUGAAUUUUCCUCGAUUCGUCUCUCGAAAAAAAAAUCAAUUAGCAAAGUAGAUAUGUUGGCAGUAUAACCCAGAAUGGAAUACGCCUUUAGAAAUUGAGCUACUGGCAAACGUACGUAACUAAGUAGUUACACAUGCACAGGUGUUUUUUCUGAUCACGUGUGCCACAUAUGCAUAUUUCUCUCGACCAACAUUGCUCUCAAGAGAGAGGAUCGUGAUCGCCCUUUGACGAAUGUGAAAUAAAAAAAUAGACUGACAAAAAAGAAUUGGAAAAAUAAUCCAACAGUAGAAUGCGGUGCGUAGGCCCACGCCGGAUACUCGGAGAAUGAAUCUCAUCCAACGAGAGGAAGUUCGAAUUAACUCGAGCCACUGCCAAGGGGGUACGACGUCGUGUACCCCGAUGUGCUACCCAUAAACUCUUGACCUAUUUUUUUUUCUUGGCACCUUUCCACGCGCUAUCGGACUCUCCGGUCAUUGAACGUGAUGUUCCAUCAUUGAUAAUUCUUUUAUGUUGUUUUUUGUUAGUUUAUUUAUUUAAUCGUUUAUAAAUUAUACAUUGUUUUUAAUAAUUAUAUGAAAGAACGUUUGAGAGUACAAAGAUAUCAUGCGCGAAAUGAGAGAUUAAUCUUAUUUAAGAAAUAUUUCUUUUCGAGAAAAAGAAAAAAAAACAAUAGAGUCGUGGAACUAAUUGGUCAGUUAAUAUAAUGAUAAUUGUAAUAUGUAAUAUAUAUAUUAUAAAAGUCAUUAAGUACCUAGAAUUAAUAAGAUCGUAAAGCUCGGAAGUGUAGAAUGUGGUAGAUGGUUAAGACUUAUUACAAUCGUUUGACCUUUCUACUAACACCGUAUCUCAACUUUGAUGGGUUUACAUUGUACGAGAGAAAGAGAGAGAAGGAAAUGGUAUAGCGAAAAAAAGGAGAAAGGAGAAGGGAGAUAAAAGAAUUUGAAAUGAAAUUGAACGUACAGAGAAGAGGACAAAAUUAUGAGAAAUUAUUGUGUCGUUUUACUGAAAUCAACAGUACUCAAACAUAAUACUCGAUUGAUCGAUAUUUCGAUAAGCGUAGAUGACAAAAUGAAAAAAGAAACGAUCCUAUCUAUUAUUUGCCGAACUAAUUAUUGUUCUCGGUUUAAAAUAAAUGAGUCAGUGUAUGAUUAAUGAUAAUUUUAAUCGUGAUAUGUUUAAAUAUUUUUGAUAUCGUUCUCUUGACGCAUUAUUAUAAUGAAGCGAUACGAUUACUAUAUCAAAAUUCACCGUAGAUUGUUUUAUGUAUUUAAAUAUAUUUAUGUAUAUUGCAUAGAUAAAUUUGAUUUAUUCAUAAUCACAUUUAAUAAAAAAUAUUUUUAUAGUUUUAUAAAUAAUUAUGUACAAAUUAUAAGAAGUCAAUACUAUUAUAAUAGACGAGGUAAUUAUGCUUUUUCACAUAUGAUGUCCACCACGGUUGCUACCAUAAGCACCGGAUCUAAACAUCUGUGAACUGCGCUUUCAAGAAUUUCGUCCAAAAGAAAGUGAACGACGCUGAAAAA